UACGUAGGUGGCAAGCGUUGUCCGGAUUUAUUGGGUUUAAAGGGUGCGUAGGCGGCUUUUUAAGUCAGUGCUGAAAUACUCUAGCUUAACUAGAGGGGUGGCAUUGAUACUGAAGAGCUUGAGUGUAGUCGAGGUAGGCGGAAUUGACGGUGUAGCGGUGAAAUGCUUAGAUAUCGUCAAGAACACCGAUAGUGUAGACAGCUUACUAGGCUACAACUGACGCUGAGGCACGAAAGUGUGGGGAUCAAACAGG
RNAcentral lists this ribosomal RNA (253 nucleotides) under uncultured bacterium. Its description in RNAcentral is "partial 16S ribosomal RNA". It matches the Rfam family "Bacterial small subunit ribosomal RNA", at positions 524 to 776 of the family's 1533-position model. The record is from RNAcentral.